Molecule: ribosomal RNA, 253 nt
Filed under: uncultured bacterium
Lineage: Bacteria
Description: partial 16S ribosomal RNA
Rfam family: Bacterial small subunit ribosomal RNA
Source: RNAcentral
UACGUAGGGGGCUAGCGUUGUCCGGAAUCAUUGGGCGUAAAGCGCGUGUAGGCGGUCCGGUAAGUCCGCUGUGAAAGUCGGGGGCUCAACCCUCGGAUGCCGGUGGAUACUGUCGGGCUUGAGUACGGAAGAGGCGAGUGGAAUUCCUGGUGUAGCGGUGAAAUGCGUAGAUAUCGGGAGGAACACCAGUGGCGAAGGCGACUUCCUGGCCUGUUCUUGACGCUGAGGCGCGAAAGCUAGGGGAGCAAACGGG